AUGUUUCGACCUACAGGUGUUGGCAGUGGCACACAUUGGGGGAAUUUCUGGCUAGCCAUGCAUGUACUGAUCAAGAGAUGCUCCUUAAAGUUAACUUUGCUAAGCUACGUGUGCGGCGGCAUCAUAGACCAAGCUAGCCCUAACAGGUCCAUGACUCCAUGUACGUGGUGUUUCAGGCUAGUCUUGCAUGUACAAAUCCAACAUGUACAUAUCAAGCCACCUAAAGAAGCUAGCUUUGCCAAGCUAUGCUCGCGGUGGCUAUCUACAACCAAUCUCAAAUUUAUCUUGAAUCUAAAUAAUUUUCUAUGA
Molecule: ribosomal RNA, 309 nt
Filed under: Triticum aestivum (bread wheat)
Lineage: Eukaryota; Viridiplantae; Streptophyta; Magnoliopsida; Poales; Poaceae
Description: partial small subunit ribosomal RNA
Source: RNAcentral